GCCGAUAUAGCUCAGUUGGUAGAGCGGUUCACUCGUAAUGAACAGGUCAGCGGUUCGAAUCCGCUUAUCGGCU
Molecule: transfer RNA, 73 nt
Filed under: Bacteroidota bacterium
Lineage: Bacteria; Pseudomonadati; Bacteroidota
Also listed under: 2 other names
Description: Bacteroidetes bacterium tRNA-Thr
Rfam family: tRNA
About the family: Transfer RNA (tRNA) molecules are approximately 80 nucleotides in length. Their secondary structure includes four short double-helical elements and three loops (D, anti-codon, and T loops).
Source: RNAcentral